This 450-nucleotide ribosomal RNA is filed under the name uncultured bacterium. RNAcentral describes it as "bacterial SSU rRNA". It matches the Rfam family "Bacterial small subunit ribosomal RNA", at positions 354 to 796 of the family's 1533-position model. The record is from RNAcentral.
GUGGGGAAUUUUGGACAAUGGGCGAAAGCCUGAUCCAGCCAUGCCGCGUGCAGGAUGAAGGCCUUCGGGUUGUAAACUGCUUUUGUACGGAACGAAAAGACUCCUUCUAAUAAAGGGGGUCCAUGACGGUACCGUAAGAAUAAGCACCGGCUAACUACGUGCCAGCAGCCGCGGUAAUACGUAGGGUGCAAGCGUUAAUCGGAAUUACUGGGCGUAAAGCGUGCGCAGGCGGUUAUAUAAGACAGAUGUGAAAUCCCCGGGCUCAACCUGGGAACUGCAUUUGUGACUGUAUAGCUAGAGUACGGUAGAGGGGGAUGGAAUUCCGCGUGUAGCAGUGAAAUGCGUAGAUAUGCGGAGGAACACCGAUGGCGAAGGCAAUCCCCUGGACCUGUACUGACGCUCAUGCACGAAAGCGUGGGGAGCAAACAGGAUUAGAUACCCCUGUAGUCC